RNAcentral lists this long non-coding RNA (555 nucleotides) under Ananas comosus (pineapple). Its description in RNAcentral is "long non-coding RNA (ACOM_LNC029004)". Lineage: Eukaryota; Viridiplantae; Streptophyta; Magnoliopsida; Poales; Bromeliaceae. The record is from RNAcentral.
AAUUAAUUAAUUUAUUAAUUCACUUAAUAUUUUGUUGUUAAUUAAUUGUACACAAUAUUAUUAUUUAACUACUAUAAUUACUCUUAUUCCUAUUAUUCCUAUCUAACUAUCCAAACACUAUUUUUCUUUUUUUUUUUUGAGAGAGAUAGGUAGCACGCUACCUGCUUCGUUUAUUUCAUUUAAAAAUAAACUUAGCUGGAAAUGUGAAUCAACUAGAAUUCGAACUUGGGACUUCAGGUACCAACCAUCAAGCCCUUUGCCACUUGCUCUAAGGACGGUCGGUACCAACCACCGAUCUCGGAUUCAAAUAUUAUUUUUCUUAUUCUCGAAAAUAACCCACUUUUCAUCCAAACGUAAAAUUGGUCUUAUUCCCGUUUAUCGAUCCCCAAGUUGUAUCUAUCUCCGGAAUAACAAAAGAAAUUUUAUUUGCGAACCAAACGAUACUUUAGAAUACAACGGUUAUUUCACAUAUUUAACAUGGUAUGAAGGCCGUACCAAAAGAAUACCACCUUCGCAAACAUAAUGACUUCAAUCUCCAAAUAUCCAUAUUUUUUU